This is an RNA transcript of Lucilia sericata (common green bottle fly), 1174 nucleotides long. RefSeq lists it as uncharacterized. The record is from RefSeq and is a predicted model, not a curated record. Lineage: Eukaryota; Metazoa; Arthropoda; Insecta; Diptera; Calliphoridae. The transcript has 3 exons.
UCCCAACUGAGCCACAUGACCCGGCGGAAAUUCUGGCGUUCCUACAAAGCGGAAAUCCUCAUCUACCUACCCAUGAUUGGAAGGUGGUGAAGGUUUCCGCCCCGAUGGGAAAUGUCAGAAAGGCGACUGUUGUCCUUAAUAAGGAAACGUUGGCGCCAUUGCGUGAAUGCGGAGGUAAAGUUUACUAUGGUUUUGAUAGUAUCUCCCUUCGCAUUUAUCGCAGUGACGCCAAACGCAGCGCCGCCGCCUCUGGUACUAAGCCGGAGGCUCCGUCCAAGGAGGAUAAUGGAAAGGCCGACGAUCCCGCUGGUUCUGAGAACCAAGAAGACUCCCAGUCUACCACAGGUAUAAUGGGUGAGCUUCUUGGCAAUCUGAAGUUAUCGGAGGAUGGAGACAGUUCGCAGGAUUCCGAUCCUGAGGACGUCGACGUCACUGUCGUGUACGAUCCUGAUCUCGGAGAUGGUGAAGGUAACCCAGAUUAACCUUCACCACUCCAAAGCAGCAUCAGCUGCUUUGCUCCUCCGGAUGGCUGAGAGAGGGGAGGAGCUCAUCUUGGUCCAAGAACCGUGGACCCACCACGGCAAAAUCCUUGGACUAUCUCUCAGAGGUUACAAACUUCUGUUUUCAAAUCCUGCAGCGAUGAGGAUACGGUAGCGGCGGCACUUGAGACCGGAAACUCCACCAUCUGGCUCCUUAGCUGCUAUAUGGCGCAUGACCAUGGUGAACAACCGCCAAACGACCUGGUCAGAGAUCUAAUGCGCGAAGCAAAUAGGCGUCACGUUCCUGUGAUAAUUGGCGCUGAUGCAAAUGCUCAUCACAGUGUCUGGGGCAGUUCAGACACCAACAGUAGAGAGGUUCAGAACCUACUUUUGUUGUGACAAACAGAAAGGAAGUUCUGGAUAUUACAGCUAUUAGUACAAACUACAUAGAAUUGAUCAAAGAUUGGAAUGUCUCCAAUGACUGCUCCUUCUCUGAUCACCGCUACCUGGACUUUGACAUAGUGGUCCAGGUCAAAGUUUCAAAACCCUUUCUAAAUAGAAGGAAAACAAAUUGGGAGAGGCACAAAGCUUCUCUGAGUACUAUUCUUCCCUCUGCUCCGACGGUAGAGAGCAUAAGGGAUAUUGAUUUGGCUGCAAAUUGGAUUGCUAGUUCUCUGAGCGUUGCCACGAAGAGA